GACCUUGUGGCACAAUGGUAGCACGUCUGACGCCAGAUCAGAAGAUUGAGUGUUCAAAUCACGUCAAGGUCA
RNAcentral lists this transfer RNA (72 nucleotides) under Dicentrarchus labrax (European seabass). It matches the Rfam family "tRNA". Rfam says of the family: Transfer RNA (tRNA) molecules are approximately 80 nucleotides in length. Their secondary structure includes four short double-helical elements and three loops (D, anti-codon, and T loops). Further hydrogen bonds mediate the characteristic L-shaped molecular structure. tRNAs have two regions of fundamental functional importance: the anti-codon, which is responsible for specific mRNA codon recognition, and the 3' end, to which the tRNAs corresponding amino acid is attached (by aminoacyl-tRNA synthetases). tRNAs cope with the degeneracy of the genetic code in two manners: having more than one tRNA (with a specific anti-codon) for a particular amino acid; and 'wobble' base-pairing, i.e. permitting non-standard base-pairing at the 3rd anti-codon position. Lineage: Eukaryota; Metazoa; Chordata; Actinopteri; Moronidae. The record is from Rfam by way of RNAcentral.